This 640-nucleotide ribosomal RNA is filed under the name uncultured ciliate. Its description in RNAcentral is "bacterial SSU rRNA". It matches the Rfam family "Eukaryotic small subunit ribosomal RNA", at positions 1 to 652 of the family's 1831-position model. Lineage: Eukaryota; Ciliophora. The record is from RNAcentral.
AACCUGGUUGAUCCUGCCAGUAGUCAUAUGCUUGUCUCAAAGACUAAGCCAUGCAUGUCUAAGUAUAAAUGGUAUACAGUGAAACUGCGAAUGGCUCAUUAAAACAGUUAUAGUUUAUUUGGUAAUCGAAUUUACAUGGAUAACCGUGGUAAUUCUAGAGCUAAUACAUGCUGUAAGCCCGACUUUUCGGAAGGGCCGUAUUUAUUAGAUAACAGACCAAUGCCCCCCCGGGCUUUGUGGUGACUCAUAGUAACUAAUCGGAUCGCAUGGGCCUGUCCCGCGACAAACCAUUCAAGUUUCUGCCCCAUCAGCUUUCGAUGGUAGUGUAUUGGACUACCAUGGCUUUUACGGGUAACGGAGGAUUAGGGUUCGAUUCCGGAGAGGGAGCCUGAGAAACGGCUACCACAUCUAAGGAAGGCAGCAGGCGCGUAAAUUACCCGAUUCUAAUUCAGAGAGGUAGUGACAAGAAAUAACGGGUCGGGACUAUGUCCCGGGACUGCAAUGAGAUGAAUUUACACCCCUUUUUGAGUAACAAUUGGAGGGCAAGUCUGGUGCCAGCAGCCGCGGUAAUUCCAGCUCCAAUAGCGUAUAUUAAAGUUGUUGCAGUUAAAACGCUCGUAGUCUGAUGUAAUGGGAACGG